GUGGGGAAUUUUGGACAAUGGGCGCAAGCCUGAUCCAGCAAUGCCGCGUGCAGGAAGAAGGCCUUCGGGUUGUAAACUGCUUUUGUACGGAACGAAACGGUCCUGGUUAAUACCUGGGGCUAAUGACGGUACCGUAAGAAUAAGCACCGGCUAACUACGUGCCAGCAGCCGCGGUAAUACGUAGGGUGCGAGCGUUAAUCGGAAUUACUGGGCGUAAAGCGUGCGCAGGCGGUGCUGUAAGACAGGCGUGAAAUCCCCGGGCUCAACCUGGGAAUUGCGCUUGUGACUGCAGUGCUGGAGUACGGCAGAGGGGGAUGGAAUUCCGCGUGUAGCAGUGAAAUGCGUAGAUAUGCGGAGGAACACCGAUAGCGAAGGCAGUCCCCUGGGCCUGUACUGACGCUCAUGCACGAAAGCGUGGGGAGCAAACAGGAUUAGAUACCCCGGUAGUCC
This 450-nucleotide ribosomal RNA is filed under the name uncultured bacterium. Its description in RNAcentral is "partial 16S ribosomal RNA". It matches the Rfam family "Bacterial small subunit ribosomal RNA", at positions 354 to 796 of the family's 1533-position model. The record is from RNAcentral.